RNAcentral lists this ribosomal RNA (301 nucleotides) under uncultured bacterium. RNAcentral describes it as "partial 16S ribosomal RNA". It matches the Rfam family "Bacterial small subunit ribosomal RNA", at positions 509 to 807 of the family's 1533-position model. The record is from RNAcentral.
CAGUAGCCGCGGGAAUACGUAGGGUGCGAGCGUUAAUCGGAAUUACUGGGCGUAAAGCGUGCGCAGGCGGUUCGUUAAGACAGAUGUGAAAUCCCCGGGCUUAACCUGGGAACUGCAUUUGUGACUGUAUAGCUAGAGUACGGCAGAGGGGGAUGGAAUUCCGCGUGUAGCAGUGAAAUGCGUAGAUAUGCGGAGGAACACCGAUGGCGAAGGCAAUCCCCUGGGCCUGUACUGACGCUCAUGCACGAAAGCGUGGGGAGCAAACAGGAUUAGAUACCCCUGUAGUCCCUGUCUCUUAUAC